UUUCCUAUCUCUCCACAGGAGGGUACUGUCUCAAAAGGCAAAAUCCUUCAAGGCAGAGUGUGAGGCUGGAAGAAGGGGAGGGUAGAGAGUGAAUGAUUCAAUUGGCUGCCACACAGAGACCUCUGCCUUUUUACCCAGAUCCAAGUGGGUGGGAAGUGUUACUCUAGUUCAAAAAAGCCUCUUUCAGGAGGGUAUCUUUCAAGGGCAGCUAAAGUCAGUGACCAGGGCCAUCCUGUGACAGGAAGAAAAGAUGCCCCUGAAAUUCUCAGUGCUGAUCCUUUGGAUUCAACUGGCAUGGCAGAGCACCCAGCAACUGGAGCAGAGUCCUCGCUUUCUAAGCAUCCAGGAGGGAGAAAACUUUACUGCGUAUUGCAACUCCACAAGCACGUUUACCAGCUUUCAGUGGUACAGACAGAAGCCUGGGGAAGGUCCAGUCCAUUUGAUGACAUUAUCUAGGAGAGGAGAAAUAAAGAAGCAGAAGAGUCUAGUAGCUCAGUUUGGUGAGGCAAGAAAAGACGGCUCCCUGUUCAUCAUUGCCGCCCAGGCUGAAGAUGCUGCCAUCUACACCUGUGCAGGGGCACAGUGCUCCCAUGGCACCUGGACGCCUGUACCCAAGCCCUACUGCAGGCUCUGUCACGCUGCUGCUGAGUCCGCCCCGCCCCCCACCCGGCCCUUCCUCCCACAUUUCUUGACAUGAACAGUGGUAACAAUCUCAGGCUCUCAUGGAACCAUCUCCACUACCUUUCCAGAUAUUUCCCACAUACACUAAAGAACAAGAUUCCUCUGUCGUGGGAUCACCUUCUAGAAAUGCAUCUCACUAUCUGAACCAGUAAAAAUAUGGGUCUACACCUCCCUGGGGUGGGCAGUGGGGAGAAAAGAAGGGAGUCGAUA
Molecule: non-coding RNA, 891 nt
Organism: Acinonyx jubatus (cheetah)
Lineage: Eukaryota; Metazoa; Chordata; Mammalia; Carnivora; Felidae
Source: the annotation of a RefSeq genome assembly